Molecule: ribosomal RNA, 429 nt
Filed under: Chloroflexota bacterium
Lineage: Bacteria; Bacillati; Chloroflexota
Description: Chloroflexi bacterium partial 16S ribosomal RNA
Rfam family: Bacterial small subunit ribosomal RNA
Source: RNAcentral
UAGGGAAUCUUCGGCAAUGGACGAAAGUCUGACCGAGCAACGCCGCGUGAGUGAAGAAGGUUUUCGGAUCGUAAAACUCUGUUGUUAGAGAAGAACAAGGACGUUAGUAACUGAACGUCCCCUGACGGUAUCUAACCAGAAAGCCACGGCUAACUACGUGCCAGCAGCCGCGGUAAUACGUAGGUGGCAAGCGUUGUCCGGAUUUAUUGGGCGUAAAGCGAGCGCAGGCGGUUUCUUAAGUCGGAUGUGAAAGCCCCCGGCUCAACCGGGGAGGGUCAUUGGAAACUGGGAGAAUUGAGUGCAGAAGAGGAGAGUGGAAUUCCAUGUGUAGCGGUGAAAUGCGUAGAUAUAUGGAGGAACACCAGUGGCGAAGGAGGCUCUCUGGUCUGUAACUGACGAUGAGGCUCGAAAGCGUGGGGAGCAAACAGG